GCCUGCCCACCCUGGAAACGG
This 21-nucleotide small nuclear RNA is filed under the name Arabidopsis thaliana (thale cress). Its description in RNAcentral is "snRNA_08896". Lineage: Eukaryota; Viridiplantae; Streptophyta; Magnoliopsida; Brassicales; Brassicaceae. The record is from RNAcentral.